Molecule: long non-coding RNA, 3995 nt
Organism: Homo sapiens (human)
Lineage: Eukaryota; Metazoa; Chordata; Mammalia; Primates; Hominidae
Source: Ensembl
AUGGCGCCUGCCCCAGUCACCCUGCUGGCCCCUGGGGCAGCAUCCUCAAUGUCUUGCAGCCAGCCCGGGCAGCGCUCGCCAUCGAAUGACUUCCAGGUGCUCCGGGGCACAGAGCUACAGCACCUGCUACAUGCGGUGGUGCCCGGGCCUUGGCAGGAGGAUGUGGCAGAUGCUGAAGAGUGUGCUGGUCGCUGUGGGCCCUUAAUGGACUGCUGGGCGUUCCACUACAAUGUGAGCAGCCAUGGUUGCCAACUGCUGCCAUGGACUCAACACUCGCCCCACUCAAGGCUGUGGCAUUCUGGGCGCUGUGACCUCUUCCAGGAGAAAGGCGAGUGGGGGUACAUGCCCACGCUCCGGAAUGGCCUGGAAGAGAACUUCUGCCGUAACCCUGAUGGCGACCCCGGAGGUCCUUGGUGCCACACAACAGACCCUGCCGUGCGCUUCCAGAGCUGCAGCAUCAAAUCCUGCCGGGUGGCCGCGUGUGUCUGGUGCAAUGGCGAGGAAUACCGCGGCGCGGUAGACCGCACCGAGUCAGGGCGCGAGUGCCAGCGCUGGGAUCUUCAGCACCCGCACCAGCACCCCUUCGAGCCGGGCAAGUUCCUCGACCAAGGUCUGGACGACAACUAUUGCCGGAAUCCUGACGGCUCCGAGCGGCCAUGGUGCUACACUACGGAUCCGCAGAUCGAGCGAGAGUUCUGUGACCUCCCCCGCUGCGGGUCCGAGGCACAGCCCCGCCAAGAGGCCACAAGUGUCAGCUGCUUCCGCGGGAAGGGUGAGGGCUACCGGGGCACAGCCAAUACCACCACCGCGGCGUACCUUGCCAGCGUUGGGACGCGCAAAUCCCACAUCAGCACCGAUUUACGCCAGAAAAAUACGCGUGCAAGUGAGGUGGGCGGGGGGGCGGGCGUUGGGACGUGCUGCUGCGGAGACCUUCGGGAGAACUUCUGCUGGAACCUCGACGGCUCAGAGGCGCCCUGGUGCUUCACCCUGCGGCCCGGCACGCGCGUGGGCUUUUGCUACCAGAUCCGGCGUUGUACAGACGACGUGCGGCCCCAGGACUGCUACCACGGCGCGGGGGAGCAGUACCGCGGCACGGUCAGCAAGACCCGCAAGGGUGUCCAGUGCCAGCGCUGGUCCGCUGAGACGCCGCACAAGCUGCAGGCCCUAACCCUGGGGCGGCAUGCUUUGAUGUCUGGGACCAGAGCCUGGAAAUGGUUGAGACUACCCUGCCACGAUUUUGCUCCCGCUCCCGCCUCGGUUCACAUUUACCUCCGAACCGCAUGCACAACUGGAGGAGAACUUCUGCCAGACCCAGAUGGGGAUAGCCAUGGGCCCUGGUGCUACACGAUGGACCCAAGGACCCCAUUCGACUACUGUGCCCUGCGACGCUGCGACCAGGUGCAGUUUGAGAAGUGUGGCAAGAGGGUGGAUCGGCUGGAUCAGCGUCGUUCCAAGCUGCGCGUGGCUGGGGGCCAUCCGGGCAACUCACCCUGGACAGUCAGCUUGCGGAAUCGCCAUAUGCCUCUCACGGGCUAUGAGGUAUGGUUGGGCACCCUGUUCCAGAACCCACAACAUGGAGAGCCAGGCCUACAGCGGGUCCCAGUAGCCAAGAUGCUGUGUGGGCCCUCAGGCUCCCAGCUUGUCCUGCUCAAGCUGGAGAGAUCUGUGACCCUGAACCAGCGUGUGGCCCUGAUCUGCCUGCCGCCUGAAUGGUAUGUGGUGCCUCCAGGGACCAAGUGUGAGAUUGCAGGCUGGGGUGAGACCAAAGGUACGGGUAAUGACACAGUCCUAAAUGUGGCCUUGCUGAACGUCAUCUCCAACCAGGAGUGUAACAUCAAGCACCGAGGACAUGUGCGGGAGAGCGAGAUGUGCACUGAGGGACUGUUGGCCCCUGUGGGGGCCUGUGAGGGUGACUACGGGGGCCCACUUGCCUGCUUUACCCACAACUGCUGGGUCCUGAAAGGAAUUAGAAUCCCCAACCGAGUAUGCACAAGGUCGCGCUGGCCAGCCGUCUUCACGCGUGUCUCUGUGUUUGUGGACUGGAUUCACAAGGUCAUGAGACUGGGUUAGGCCCAGCCUUGACGCCAUAUGCUUUGGGGAGGACAAAACUUGUAAGUACAGUCAAGGACAAGACUUGUACUCAAGGUUGAGAUUUAAUAAAAUUAAUAUUUUUACUACUUCACCAAGGACUUUCUUAAACGAAAAUGGUUUUUCCCCCUGCAAGUAAACAGUAAUGAAGAAGAGAAUUAUUCCUAGUGCAGUUUGUUUUCAUGGUCUUAAUUUUUGCUAAGACUCCACUGUUUUUGCCUUAUCAAUACAAGUGCCAACACAGUGAAAAGGCAAAUAUCAUCUUAGUAUUACUCUGAAAAUAGUUCUGAGCUAAUGGCCUACUGAAAGGAAAAGAGUGGCUCCUGCUAUUCUAUUAGACUUAUUACAAUUAUCUUAAGUAUUCUUUCUACCCUCCUUUAAUUGAAUGGAAACAGGGAUGGAUUGGAAGAGCUGUUUUUCUCCUUUCUUUCCCCCGGCAAUAUUUACCAUUUAAUGCCACUUACUAACACUCAAAGAAACAAAACCAAACUUCUCAAUUGACAGUGCAGUGACCCAACAAAGACACGGGUUCUUGAAUUCAAAGUGGAGCAGGAGAGACGGUAAAUACACAUUUACUUUAAUAUAUAUAUAUUUAUUAUUUAUGUGUUUAAAGCACAAAUUAGUUUGGUAAAAAACAUCUCAUGUCUGUUUUAUUUCCACAUCCCUGAGACUGACAAUGGGAUGCCUAUCAAUUAAUUCAUUUAGAGAGCCAUACACCACAAGAAACAAAUUAUUUGUCCUCUGGAGCUUGUCACAGGGGGAUUUUUAAAAAACCAUUAAACAGAAAGACAACUGUGCAUCUUAGAAAGAUAAAAGGCCAAUUCUUCCUCUCCGGCUGAUAGGUUCUUAAUAAUAGUGAUAUCUACUAAUAAGGUGUUUUACAUAGUGUAAAGCAUGUUCACAUACAAAUUACUUAGCCUCUUUGAGCCUCAGUUUUCUUAUAUGUAAAACUGGAUUAAUAGUACAUUUUGUGUUUAAAAAGAUAAUGUAUAUGAAGUGUUUACCAUUUUUGCUUGGCAUCUAGUUCAGUUCUCAGUAACUGAUGUGGUGGUGGUGGUGGUCAUAGUAGCAGUAAGAUCCGUAGUAAUAGUAGCAGCAGUUGUUUUAGAAAUUAGUAACUGAGGCCUGGCAAAGUUAAAGGCUCUUUCAUUAACACCCAGAGGGGAAGAAAUGAAGCUGGUCUUCAGAGGCAGGCUAUUUUCACUCUGUGUCCCAAAUUUUCCCCCCUAGACCGUUUUUAUACUUCUGGGGCCUCAGAAAAUAUUCUCAGCUAUUCUGUUAGCUUGAUCUCCUACCAUCUGAGAGUGGGCUUCCUUCAAACAACCAAAUUUCCAGGUAUUUCUAAACUGCCCUUCCCCUACACCAUUCUUUGGUUCAGUAUUUCAAGACCCCUAAGAGAAAUGGUACAUUUACAUGUAAGCACAGGAUAGUGAAGUAUUUACAACAAGUGCUUUGGAGCCAGCAAAUAUGAAUCAGAAUCCAGCUUUCCUUUCCUACAUACAUGACAUUGGGCAGCUAAUUUCUAAGAUUUUACUUCUUUAUCUAUGAAAGUGGAGUACUAGUACUUGCUCUGUGCAACUGUGAUGGUUGUUACAUGAGGUAGCAUCUAGAAGCAGCUUGCACAUUGCCAGACACCCAGUGGAAGGUCAAUGAAUGACUAUUUGAGGACUAACUAUUACAGAAAUGUUUACUCUUCUGAGUCCUGAUUUCUAGUCUCCUGGACUAAAUAGGUUCACUGUUUUCCUCCCGGUUCAGUUUCCAGACACAUCACAGAAUUAUAAGAAUAUUAAAAACUCAGGCUUAUACCUACACAGGAUUUUCUAUAACCCUCUUUCUGCUUUGAGCUCCUAAAGGUAUUUCAUAGAAAAAUGACCUUAUUUUUAAAUAGAGGGGGCAGUUGAAAAUCA